Molecule: transfer RNA, 75 nt
Filed under: Candidatus Nomurabacteria bacterium RIFCSPLOWO2_01_FULL_46_18
Lineage: Bacteria; Candidatus Nomuraibacteriota
Description: tRNA-Arg
Rfam family: tRNA
About the family: Transfer RNA (tRNA) molecules are approximately 80 nucleotides in length. Their secondary structure includes four short double-helical elements and three loops (D, anti-codon, and T loops).
Source: RNAcentral
GCUCUCAUCGUUCAACGGAUAGGACGCAAGAUUCCGGAUCUUGUAAUUGAGGUUCGAAUCCUCAUGGGAGCACAA